GACUGCCGGUGACAAGCCGGAGGAAGGUGGGAUGACGUCAAGUCAGCAUGGCCUUUAUAUCCUGGGCUACACACACGCUACAAUGGCCAACACAAUAGGUUGCUAAGCCGCGAGGUGGCGCCAAUCCAUAAAGUUGGUCUCAGUUCAGAUUGUAGGCUGCAACCCGCCUGCAUGAAGAUGGAGUUGCUAGUAACCGCAGGUCAGCUAUACUGCGGUGAAUACCGGUUCCCGGGGCUU
This 237-nucleotide ribosomal RNA is filed under the name uncultured Leptolinea sp. RNAcentral's name for it is "partial 16S ribosomal RNA". It matches the Rfam family "Bacterial small subunit ribosomal RNA", at positions 1147 to 1382 of the family's 1533-position model. Lineage: Bacteria; Bacillati; Chloroflexota; Anaerolineae; Anaerolineales; Anaerolineaceae. The record is from RNAcentral.